Molecule: long non-coding RNA, 433 nt
Organism: Ceratina calcarata
Lineage: Eukaryota; Metazoa; Arthropoda; Insecta; Hymenoptera; Apidae
Exons: 3
Source: RefSeq, a predicted model, not a curated record
AGCCAUUCAAAAAAUAAAAGAUGUGCAGUGCUUCUAGCUGGAGGACAGGAACUGGUAGGAUGGACUUCUUGGCGAUACAGGGACGAUUAAAUAUUCUGAUUGAAAUAUAAUAAGCACAUAUGGCUGGUAUGAAGUUUCGUUUAAUUACGGAAAUUCUGAUUAAAAUACCUUGGCCAGAAGUUUGAAAUUAAUCCUGGAGGAUUAAUAGGCUACUGUGAUGUGGCGAAGAAGCAUGCUAUUGUGCUGGGAUUGUUGCGAACAGAGUUUGUGAUUUCUGGAGUAUCGAUGACUCCCCCCACUCGAACAUUUGUUAUUUUCAUUACAGGCAUGACUAAAGCACAGAAAUAUGUGAAUUAUACAUACCAGGAGGGGACACUUUGGCUGGCCAUGAUUUUUCUAAUCAAUUCCCAAUGAUCAAAUUCAACAUAUUGGG